GAAAUGCGAUAAGUAGUGUGAAUUGCAGAAUUCAGUGAAUCAUCGAAUCUUUGAACGCACAUUGCGCCCCUUGGUAUUCCAUGGGGCAUGCCUGUUCGAGCGUCAUUUGUACCCUCAAGCUCUGCUUGGUGUUGGGUGUUUGUCCCCGUCUCCGCGCGUGGACUCGCCCCAAAGUGAUUGGCAGCCGGCGUACUGGUCCCGGAGCGCAGCACAUGUCGCGCAAACGAGUGCCUUGGUACGGCGGCGUCCAUAAGCCCCUCUCUCACGCUCUUGACCUCAGAUCAGGUAGGGAUACCCGCUGAACUUAAGC
This 310-nucleotide unclassified non-coding RNA is filed under the name plant metagenome. RNAcentral describes it as "partial contains 5.8S ribosomal RNA, internal transcribed spacer 2, and large subunit ribosomal RNA". The stretch from base 1 to 105 matches the Rfam family "5.8S ribosomal RNA", at positions 50 to 154 of the family's 154-position model. The record is from RNAcentral.